This 1076-nucleotide long non-coding RNA is filed under the name Sorghum bicolor (sorghum). RNAcentral's name for it is "long non-coding RNA (SBIC_LNC004241)". Lineage: Eukaryota; Viridiplantae; Streptophyta; Magnoliopsida; Poales; Poaceae. The record is from RNAcentral.
GGGUUCAAAACUGAGUUUAAGUUUUCCAAAGGUUCAAAAGAGAUUUUUUUCAGAAAAAGAGCCAAAUUGUACAAAAAUUGGGUCGGCUCCACCGGCGUCGGCAGCGCCGCGACCGCGACGAACACAAGGUGCCAACCCCGCGUGUCCCCGCCCCACUUCCUCAACCACGGCCAGGUUCUUCCUUGUCUUCUCCGCGGUCCCCGCCAGUUUGGCUUCGGCUCCGACCUGCCAGCGCCGGCCAAUGGGGGUUGGUUCGCCCGAGGUGAGCGCUCUCUCCAUUUCCCCCGCUCUUCGCAUUCCGCAUUGCACCCUCACACCAAAACCCUGAACCCAUGAUGCAACUGUAAUGGAGAUUGAUUCGGUCUAGUGAAUUCUCCAGAAUCACCCCACCCCCGUCCCCCGCUGCCAUUCUAAUCGCCCGCCGCUGCUUAGUGCGUACCCACUUCACCUUUUGAGCUAAUCACUUGGGCAACAGUAUCCUCAAGUUUGGGUAUCUAUAUUCAGAAGAAGAAUUUACCCCUUCUUCGGUAGAGUUCGUUGUUCAUUUUUCUGGCAAUGCUCAUGGACCAGAUGACUGUGCACCUGCCCCCAAAUGAAUUUGGGUAGCUGGGUCGAACCAAUCAGCAAAAAAUAAAGCAUAUGCUAUAUGAAUUGCUGUUUUUGUACACCUCGGUUUGGCUUUCGAGUCUGUGUUCUCUUUCAGUUAUCGAUUAGUCGGACUUCAAUCGUUUUUCAACACAAAUUUCUUAUGGAACCAAUGUUUUCUUUUCUCUGCGUCCCAGAAAAUAUUGUUAUUCAAGACUUUUACAUUCAGAUGAUUGGUUGACAACCCGCCGAAACCACAUUUCGAUGGAAAGAAGGAGAUAAUCCUGGAUCUACUCCGACCAUGGCAAAUAUUUUCCCAAGCUUCCUGGGCCUUUCUGUCAUUUCUGGUGAACUCAUCAAUUGUGUCGCCUUGGCCAUCAAUGGGGAGCAGAGAUGAAUCACUUCUCCAUUUACACUGGGGUCCGCUCAUCACUUGUUGUGGACGCUUUAAUUGAAAAGCAGUACAUCAGGAACAAGAAGAAGGCACCAGC